Molecule: long non-coding RNA, 2165 nt
Organism: Erythranthe guttata (spotted monkey flower)
Lineage: Eukaryota; Viridiplantae; Streptophyta; Magnoliopsida; Lamiales; Phrymaceae
Source: RefSeq, a predicted model, not a curated record
CCCACUUUCUCGUAAUUACGAAAACCCCCCUUGACUAACGGUUGACCGAAUUUUUUUAACCGAAAACUUGAAAUGUCUAUUAUAUCCUUCUGUUAUACCCUCGAUUUCAAACCUCCAAACUUUGCAAAUACAUUUGUUUGCUGCAAUAACAUUCGACAACGGAGUUCAUAACCGGGGAAAUAUUCUGAGAAUCAACAGCUUUGCGGGAUUGAAUCAAUAGAGGGAAAAUCUUGCCAGGUGGGUAAUCUUGAACAAUUGAAUCUAAGAUGGGGUUUCCAAGUACAGAAAGCUCCGACCCUAACAGUAUCCGGAUAAUCCGGCACCGGUCGCCGAUAUCAGGCUUGAAAUCGAGGGUAUUCUGAGCCCAAUUGAAGAAACUAAAACAUAUUUUGGGGUGGGUUUCGAUUCUGUUCAAGAUUUAGUGAAAGAGGGAAGGAGUAAAAUUGGAGGAAAACUUGAGGGGUUUGAGAAGCGGAGCCCAUAAUUUGGAGUGUCGUUGCAGGAGGACUGUGGAGGCCUGUGAAACAAGCUCGGUUUGGUUGAUUCGGAUCCUCCAAUUCCGGGUCGGGUUUCUUCCUGAAGUUGUGAAGUGAUUGGGGUCGGCUGGAUUUCCGGGCCGUUGAUUUCCGAGCAUUUGUUGGUGAUGCGGGAUAGGAAUAUCGAAGCGACCGGCGAAAGGGCAAAAUUGGUAUUAUCAGAGGAAUAUUCGGGAGAAUAAAAAAGAUUAUAUCGAGUUUAACACCGUUAGAGCAAUUUGUAAGAUGUCUGCAUACCUCAGGGGGGUUUUUGUAAUUACGAGAACGUGGGGGGAAUUUCCGUUAUUCAGACUUACCUCAGGAGGGUUUGGUAAUUUGCCCUAAUAUUUAUGAUAUGUUUUUGAAUUGAAAGGUGAACCAAGAUAUUAUUUGGUCUUUUCAAGAAAACAUGAGGAAAAAUUGUAGCAGUAACUUUGCACUUUAUUUAAAAACUUUUUCUCAUGUGUCAAUCGAACACAUCAAAUAAUGGAGACAAUACUAUGGCACAAGUGAUGGAUAGGUAUUCCCACGCCAAAAUGCAAUAAUUCAACUUAAUAAUCAUUAUACUACUCGAAAGAUAUAAAGUUUUUUUUGCUGCAUUUUCUGUCUAUAUAAACUAUUGCACCAAUAACAUUUAACUUACCAUCCAUUUCUUCUACCUUCGAUCUGCUGUAAUGGCAACCAAAAAAUCCAUCAUUUUCCGUCAAGAAGACUCUCUCUACGAACUCAAUUGAGAUGAAAAAAUCGUCAAUACUUUCAUCCAAGUAUUGGCUUACGAAGUACGUGUAGGUAAAUUUAUUGUCGGCAAAGAAAACAAAGAAUCACUCCUUUCGGCUCGAAGUGUUAGUGGAAGAAAAUACGGGGAUUUUUUUUCAAGAAAAUACAUUUUGAAGAAGUUGGGGAUUCUCAAAACGAGGCACCGCCACAUUCGGUUGGAUGAUAUCGCAACUAGGCGUCACAUACGAUGAAUCAAGCAAUGUCGUAAUUGCUUCGGAUUUGGUGUGGAAAGCUUUUUUAAAGGAACACACCUUCGCAUUUGCAUAUCGGACUUACGGGGAUAGCAAUUGGGAAGAACUAUAGACCAUAUUCGUAUGUGUUCGCCUAGUUGCGGUAGCAUCUAACCAAAUGCGGUGUGCCUCGUUUUUUUAAAUGUAUAUACCCGUGUUGAGAAUCCACAACUUCUUCUAAAUGUAUAUUGUUGAAAAACAAAUACCCGUGUUUUUUUCCAGUAAGACUUUGAGCCACAAGGUGAUUCUUUGUUUUAUUUUUCGGCAACAAAUUUACCUACACGUGCUUCGUAUGCCAACACUUGGAUGACAGUAUUGUCUAUUUUUUCAUCCCAAUUGAGUUCGUACAAGAAGUCUUCUUGACGGAAAAUGAUGAAUUUUUUGGGUGCCAUUACAAGAUAUUGAAUGUAGAAGAAAUGGAUGGUAAGUUGCAUGUUAUGGUGCAAUAGUUUAUAUUGCCGUCGAAUACGGUAGCACGGAAAUAGAACGUCGUCGGGCUCCUCGACGAGUCCGUAAGUCAAGGAUUAAUUGUGGGUGUCGGCCGAUUAUAUUCACUUCGUUGUUCGUUAAUGAUCAGUUAUACUAUUUAUAUGUUGAAUAUUUAAACAUGGUGAAAUUUUAAUAUAUUUUAUGCUUUUCGAUA